AGGGGUGUAGCUCAGUGGUAGAUCACUUACCUGGCAUGCAUAAAGCCUUGGGUUUGAUCCCCUACACCACAG
Molecule: transfer RNA, 72 nt
Filed under: Marmota monax (woodchuck)
Lineage: Eukaryota; Metazoa; Chordata; Mammalia; Rodentia; Sciuridae
Description: tRNA.Ala
Source: RNAcentral